UGAGUAACCUGCCCUUAACUCUGGGAUAAGCCUGGGAAACUGGGUCUAAUACCGGAUAUGACUCCUCAUCGCAUGGUGGGGGGUGGAAAGCUUUUNUGUUUGGUU
Molecule: ribosomal RNA, 105 nt
Filed under: uncultured bacterium
Lineage: Bacteria
Description: partial 16S ribosomal RNA
Source: RNAcentral